Molecule: unclassified non-coding RNA, 219 nt
Filed under: rhizosphere metagenome
Description: partial ribosomal RNA internal transcribed spacer region
Source: RNAcentral
GUAGGUGAACCUGCGGAAGGAUCAUUAAGAGAACUUGCCCUCCGGGGUAAAUCUCCCACCCUAUGUUUACAUACCUUUGUUGCUUUGGCGGGCCCGUCUCACGACCACCGGCGGCAGUUUAGCUGGUCAGUGCCCGCCAGAGGACCCCAACUCUAAAUUUUAUGUCGUCUGAGUACUAUAUAAUAGUUAAAACUUUCAACAACGGAUCUCUUGGUUCUG